UCCUGCAAGUUUUUGAAGAAGGAGAUCAAUAAUCCGAAACCAGUUUUAUGCAAAGAACUAAGACCUGUUUAGCAUACACUGAUAUGUCCAUCAUUUUCAAAACUUGUAUAUGCCAAGGUACCACUUUGGAAGCAACAUAUAAGAACCAUGACAUACAUAUUCAAUGUUCAUUGCAUAUAUAAGUUGAAUUGUGAAAUGAGAUCAUUGCAGGGCAUGUUUGUGCCACAAUUUACUAUCAACUGAAAGAUAUAAAUGCUUACUAAAGCAUACAUAUAUAUAACACUAAGAGCUGUUGGCUUACCUUGCAGAUUUAGAAUGUGGAAGCUUAUAGUAUCCAGCAUGGUGAGCAAAAUUUUGAAUAGAAGGACCAGGAGCAUCAAUAACUGGGAAUUUGAAUUGCUUUUCAACAAUCUUUGAAGGCUCAUUUGUAAGGUCUUCAUUGACACCUUCAUUAGCAGCAUGUCUUGGGAACAAAUUAAGCCCUCGUAUGAGCUUUUCUGCUUGUAUUUUUGCAGUGGGAGAUGACUGAAGUUGGGUUUUCCAUGGUGAAACAGCCUUGGCCAACAAUGGUGAAACCAGCAAAAAAAGUGAAAGCAAAAUGAGUUUUUCAAAGAAAGUUGAGGCCAUUUCUUUUCUCUUUCUUUGUGGGGUCUUAAUCUUUUUGGGAGAUUGCUGCAAAAUCUUGUUUGGUUUAUAUAGAGUUUGAUGGAACCACCUCCACUAGGGGACAAAGUCCAUUGAUUUUGCAUGCUUAAGUCUUGAAUAAUCUCCAUGUGAUUUACAUUAUUGGUUUUUUUUUAUUUUCUACUUUAGAAGUCUAUAUAGCAUUAAAUGUUGCGAGGAAAUUGAAGAAUAUCUCAAAUCUUUG
RNAcentral lists this long non-coding RNA (868 nucleotides) under Gossypium barbadense (sea-island cotton). Its description in RNAcentral is "long non-coding RNA (GBAR_LNC015126)". Lineage: Eukaryota; Viridiplantae; Streptophyta; Magnoliopsida; Malvales; Malvaceae. The record is from RNAcentral.